CCACUCAAGAAUUUUUCCCCUAUCAUGUUUCAUUCUACCAAAUCAACAUAGAUUAAGUCGUUUAAAUUAAUUGAUUUUUUUUUCUUAGGGUUUUAAGAUUAUGCAGUUUCCCUCGGAGUAAUGAUCCAUUCCAUUGUUUGAUUCACGAACGCAUCUGUAAUACUACAAUUGCGCAACUAUUGAGAUUUUUGGUGUGAUGAAAAGAAAAGGCAAAACAGAAAAAAAGUUUCUGUUGAAAAGAGGAGAAAAAUGAAGAAGGCAAAAACAGUUGAUGCUGAGACAGAUAGUAAAUUGAAUAUUCAAGAUGGAGUAGUGAAUGACACCAUCCUUCUGAAGCUAAAGAGAUCCAAGUCUUUAAGGAGCAUCUGCAUCGAGCUGCUGAUAUUGGAGCUGCAAUUAAACCUUAUAUUAAAAGCCUUUUCUUGUAUGUAGGUCAAUGAAAACUAAGAAAAAGAGGAUAAAGGAAGAGAGUUUUGGGAAGGAGGUUCAAAAGUCACCAAAAAAGGAGGGGGCCAUGAUCACAAUUGAGACUUAUAUUAUUUCUUCUGGAAAUGAGGACUGCUUAAAAGGAAUGAAAAGUAUGACUAGUGAAAUCGAGAGGAUUAUUUUUACAUUGUGCAUCUGAAAUUAUUUUAUUCGAUUAUUGCAUACAGACGGGUUGAUGAGCUUAUUUUGCAAUGUUCCUAUAUAUGUUGGGCUAUUUACAUCCUGUAGCAAGUUUGAUUGAGAUACAUCUUUUUUUUAUGCACUAUCCUAUUGUCAUUUAAUUGACAUCUUGUAAAUUUCUGACUGGGGCUACUUAAAUUACGGAGUGGAUCAUGGAAUAUCAUGUAAGUGGAUUAUGGUUGAAGGUGUUGCAGGAUCAAAUUGAUGACUUCAUAACUGCUUAAAAACUUCGUACCCCAUUGCCCAGAGACUCUUCGCUAUGCGAAGGUAUGGGGGAGGGAUGUUGUACGCAGCCUUACCCUUGCAUAUGCAAAGAGGCUGUUUCCGGAUUCGAACCCAUGACCAAC
Long non-coding RNA from Glycine soja, 1013 nucleotides. RefSeq lists it as uncharacterized. The transcript is spliced from 3 exons. Lineage: Eukaryota; Viridiplantae; Streptophyta; Magnoliopsida; Fabales; Fabaceae. The record is from RefSeq and is a predicted model, not a curated record.